RNAcentral lists this unclassified non-coding RNA (228 nucleotides) under Hevea brasiliensis (rubber tree). The record is from RNAcentral. Lineage: Eukaryota; Viridiplantae; Streptophyta; Magnoliopsida; Malpighiales; Euphorbiaceae.
UAUGGUUUAUCGAUUUGAGUUUGUUGCAUAUAGAGGAAAAUAAUUUGUAGGAGAUACUAUGGUUUGCAAAGGAAACAGUGAGAAAGUUUUAGAGAAAGAAUGGAGAGAGAAACAAUGAGAAAAUAAUUGAGAGAGAAAUGGGAGGAGAGAGAACGUGAGAGAGAGAAUGGCAAGAGAGGCAGAAAGAGAGAAAUGAGACUGGAAUAAAGAGAUUGGAGAGAGAGGAGA